GGAGGAGUCUGAUGCUCUAAAUGGAAGCUGCCCAAGAGGAGCCCCUACACUGCAUCGCCUGUUGCCACAUCUACGUAACAAUCAGACGUGUGUGAUCCGCUUGCCCGAGGGAGGAAGAACAGAGUGGGCAGGAGAAAGAGGAGGCAAGGUCAUAAACCCAGGAUUAGGAUGAGGCAUCUUGAAGACAGUGAAGAUGUGGAUGGGUAUUGAGGAGGAAAGGAGACGGCGCUGCCCAGGGAUGUGAGCCAACUGAUCACUCACAAUUUCCGUGUUCGUUUACGACUUCAGAGAUUACAGCACCUGCAUGGAAGGGUCAUUCAAAACGGAUGUGACAAUAUUCAGGCAGAAGGAUCAGAAGAGCUCCAGUCAGAUCAGGUAACAAAGUUCUCUAUUGUGUGGCAGGCACAAGACCAAAAAAGAAUCCUAAGCCUGAAGUACCACUCCAUCGCGGGGUUAGAUUCCUCACCUUGCCAACGUCUGGUUCCUGGUUUCUGCAAGAGUGGAAAUGCUGUACAAUGUAGCUAACCAGUCCACAGAUCUCGAAGACAACUAGGUUGAAAACUAAAGUUGAGAUGCCCAUUAGGCAAUUAAUUCCACAGAUCUCACUUUCAAGAGCAAAACUGAAGCUGGAGAGAAAAGUGGGAAUCAUCAGCACUCGAGUCCUGGCAGUUCCAACCACAGAAGGGAGGGAGAUAACGCAAGACAGUAGAAAGUGGGAAAAGGUCUUACGGCUUUUGUGAG
Phyllostomus hastatus (greater spear-nosed bat) is the source of this 741-nucleotide long non-coding RNA. RefSeq lists it as uncharacterized. The record is from RefSeq and is a predicted model, not a curated record. Lineage: Eukaryota; Metazoa; Chordata; Mammalia; Chiroptera; Phyllostomidae. The transcript is spliced from 3 exons.